ACCAGAGACAGAAUUCAUCUGUGUUUAUAUUUUGCAGACAAUGAAAACUCUACUCCUUGCAUGCCUGUUUUUCCUUAUUAUAUCACAGAAAGUGUGAAACUGCGGCAUUUCUCUACUUCUAAUGGCCGCUUUCCAUCCAGCACUGUAGAUAAUGCUUUUGGUGCCUUUUUCCUUAAGUACUCACAAAUUCUGUGCACGCCAUCUUUGUCUACUGUCAUUCCUGUAUAAUUUGUGAUAUCUGCCUUCAGAAAACUGAUGAGAAUAACUUGACUAUAAGAGAAGGAGUGUGGUGACUGCUUUAUAUCGAACAUGGCAUUUAAAUAACGACUGUGAAAAGCGUACUAUCUUUUAUCUGGGUAUUUUGGAUCUUCAUGUACUAGGAGCAGUGUUGCUGCAGUUAUGCCACUGGAAACUACUCCAAACAACAGAACUAGAACUCUUACGACUGUGCAAGACAGAGAAUUCAGAGUGACAACUCCAGAAAAAGCACAUCAAGAGACUGAGGAAAACAAGAUAAUCUGCCAGAGGAGGCAGGCCAGGCUCACCAGAUGGUGGGAUAAGUACACUGUACUGCUGGAAUUAAUGUGAUACUGUAAUAAAACUGUGUACCACAUCA
This is a long non-coding RNA of Protopterus annectens (West African lungfish), 616 nucleotides long. RefSeq lists it as uncharacterized. The record is from RefSeq and is a predicted model, not a curated record. The transcript is spliced from 3 exons. NCBI's taxonomy places the organism in Eukaryota, Metazoa, Chordata, Ceratodontiformes, Protopteridae.